CCAAGGUUGGCCGAUCGGUUUAGGCAGCGGACUCAUAAUCCGCGAGCGGAAGCUCUAGACAGGUUCGAUUCCUGUACCUUGGA
This 83-nucleotide transfer RNA is filed under the name Chamaesiphon minutus PCC 6605. RNAcentral's name for it is "tRNA-Ile2 (CAT) (tRNA-Ile2-CAT-1-1)". It matches the Rfam family "tRNA". From Rfam's summary of the family: Transfer RNA (tRNA) molecules are approximately 80 nucleotides in length. Their secondary structure includes four short double-helical elements and three loops (D, anti-codon, and T loops). Further hydrogen bonds mediate the characteristic L-shaped molecular structure. tRNAs have two regions of fundamental functional importance: the anti-codon, which is responsible for specific mRNA codon recognition, and the 3' end, to which the tRNAs corresponding amino acid is attached (by aminoacyl-tRNA synthetases). tRNAs cope with the degeneracy of the genetic code in two manners: having more than one tRNA (with a specific anti-codon) for a particular amino acid; and 'wobble' base-pairing, i.e. permitting non-standard base-pairing at the 3rd anti-codon position. RNAcentral also lists the same sequence under 1 other name. The record is from Rfam by way of RNAcentral. Lineage: Bacteria; Bacillati; Cyanobacteriota; Cyanophyceae; Gomontiellales; Chamaesiphonaceae.